UUCCCCUAGUAACUGCGAGUGAAGCGGGAAAAGCUCAAAUUUAAAAUCUGGCGGUCUUCGGCCGUCCGAGUUGUAAUCUGGAGAAGCGUUUUCCGCGCUGGACCGUGUACAAGUCUCUUGGAACAGAGCGUCAUAGAGGGUGAGAAUCCCGUCUUUGACACGGACUACCAGUGCUAUGUGAUGCGCUCUCGAUGAGUCGAGUUGUUUGGGAAUGCAGCUCAAAAUGGGUGGUAAAUUCCAUCUAAAGCUAAAUAUUGGCGAGAGACCGAUAGCGAACAAGUACCGUGAGGGAAAGAUGAAAAGCACUUUGGAAAGAGAGUUAAACAGUACGUGAAAUUGCUGAAAGGGAAACGAUUGAAGUCAGUCGCGUGUGCUAGAACUCAGCCUUGCUUUUGCUUGGUGCAUUUUCUAGUGUACGGGCCAGCAUCAGUUUUGGCCGCCGGAAAAAGGCCUUGGGAAUGUGGCACCUUCGGGUGUGUUAUAGCCCUUGGUUGUAUACGGUGGCUGGGACUGAGGAACAUAGCAUGCCUUUAUGGCGGGGCUUCGGCCACCUUCAUGCUUUGGAUGCUGGCGUAAUGGCUUUAAACGACCCGUCUUGAAACACGGACCAAGGAGUCUAACAUGCCUGCGAGUGUUUGGGUGGAAAACCCGAGCGCGUAAUGAAAGUGAAAGUUGGGACUUCUGUCGUGGAAGGCACCGACGCCCGGACCAGACCUUCUGUGACGGAUCCGCGGUAGAGCAUGUAUGUUGGGACCCGAAAGAUGGUGAACUAUGCCUGAAUAGGGUGAAGCCAGAGGAAACUCUGGUGGAGGCUCGUAGCGAUUCUGACGUGCAAAUCGAUCGUCAAAUUUGGGUAUAGGGGCGAAAGACUAAUCG
Molecule: ribosomal RNA, 876 nt
Filed under: Bjerkandera adusta
Lineage: Eukaryota; Fungi; Basidiomycota; Agaricomycetes; Polyporales; Phanerochaetaceae
Description: partial large subunit ribosomal RNA
Rfam family: Eukaryotic large subunit ribosomal RNA
Source: RNAcentral